GGCACUAUAGCCAAGUGGUUAAGGCAACAGAUUAGAAUACUGUGCCUUUUGAGGAUCUAUCUGUUACUCUCUGAGUGCGUAGGUUCAAAUCCUGCUGGUGUCG
Armillaria borealis is the source of this 103-nucleotide non-coding RNA. NCBI's taxonomy places the organism in Eukaryota, Fungi, Basidiomycota, Agaricomycetes, Agaricales, Physalacriaceae. The record is from the annotation of a GenBank genome assembly.